Molecule: transfer RNA, 74 nt
Filed under: Brockia lithotrophica
Lineage: Bacteria; Bacillati; Bacillota; Bacilli; Thermicanales; Thermicanaceae
Description: tRNA-Cys
Rfam family: tRNA
About the family: Transfer RNA (tRNA) molecules are approximately 80 nucleotides in length. Their secondary structure includes four short double-helical elements and three loops (D, anti-codon, and T loops).
Source: RNAcentral
GGGGGCAUAGCCAAGCGGUAAGGCAGAGGUCUGCAAAACCUCGAUCCCCGGUUCGAAUCCGGGUGCUCCCUCCA